RNAcentral lists this ribosomal RNA (497 nucleotides) under uncultured bacterium. RNAcentral's name for it is "partial 16S ribosomal RNA". It matches the Rfam family "Bacterial small subunit ribosomal RNA", at positions 28 to 507 of the family's 1533-position model. The record is from RNAcentral.
GACGAACGCUGGCGGCGUGCCUAAUACAUGCAAGUUGAGCGCUGAAGGUUGGUACUUGUACCAACUGGAUGAGCAGCGAACGGGUGAGUAACGCGUGGGGAAUCUGCCUUUGAGCGGGGGACAACAUUUGGAAACGAAUGCUAAUACCGCAUAAAAACUUUAAACACAAGUUUUAAGUUUGAAAGAUGCAAUUGCAUCACUCAAAGAUGAUCCCGCGUUGUAUUAGCUAGUUGGUGAGGUAAAGGCUCACCAAGGCGAUGAUACAUAGCCGACCUGAGAGGGUGAUCGGCCACAUUGGGACUGAGACACGGCCCAAACGCCUACGGGAGGCAGCAGUAGGGAAUCUUCGGCAAUGGACGAAAGUCUGACCGAGCAACGCCGCGGGAGGGAAGAAGGUUUUCGGAUCGUAAAACUCUGUUGGUAGAGAAGAACGUUGGUGAGAGUGGAAAGCUCAUCAAGUGACGGUAACUACCCAGAAAGGGACGGCUAACUACGUG